GGGCGUAGCUCAGUUGGUAGAGCACCACCUUGCCAAGGUGGCUGUCGAGAGUUCGAAUCUCUUCGCCC
This 68-nucleotide transfer RNA is filed under the name marine eukaryotic metagenome. It matches the Rfam family "tRNA". Rfam says of the family: Transfer RNA (tRNA) molecules are approximately 80 nucleotides in length. Their secondary structure includes four short double-helical elements and three loops (D, anti-codon, and T loops). Further hydrogen bonds mediate the characteristic L-shaped molecular structure. tRNAs have two regions of fundamental functional importance: the anti-codon, which is responsible for specific mRNA codon recognition, and the 3' end, to which the tRNAs corresponding amino acid is attached (by aminoacyl-tRNA synthetases). tRNAs cope with the degeneracy of the genetic code in two manners: having more than one tRNA (with a specific anti-codon) for a particular amino acid; and 'wobble' base-pairing, i.e. permitting non-standard base-pairing at the 3rd anti-codon position. The record is from RNAcentral.